GGGUUGCCUCCCAAGAAGCGCUUAUUUAAGGUCAUUAGCUUGACCCCCUCAAAUAUGCUAAUCAAAAAGCGGCUUCCUUCCAUAAUAAUUAUCAUAUAAUAUGACAUAUGGGUCUUGAUGUAAAGUGCCCUCAAGAUUGGCCAGAUUUGAAGCAAAUUUGCAUGUAGCAUGAACAGCACUUGGAGUUGAAUCACAUGCUUGGGUUGAAGAA
Molecule: unclassified non-coding RNA, 211 nt
Filed under: Hevea brasiliensis (rubber tree)
Lineage: Eukaryota; Viridiplantae; Streptophyta; Magnoliopsida; Malpighiales; Euphorbiaceae
Source: RNAcentral